UACGUAGGCAGCAAGCGUUGUUCGAAGUUACUGGGCGUAAAGGGUGUGUAGGCGGUUCUUUAAGUUUGGUGUGAAAUCUCCCGGCUCAACCGGGAGGGUGCGCCGAAUACUGAGGGACUAGAGUGCGGGAGAGGAAAGUGGAAUUCCUGGUGUAGCGGUGAAAUGCGUAGAUAUCAGGAGGAACACCGGUGGUGUAGACGGCUUUCUGGACCGUAACUGACGCUGAGACACGAAAGCGUGGGUAGCAAACAGG
RNAcentral lists this ribosomal RNA (253 nucleotides) under uncultured bacterium. RNAcentral's name for it is "partial 16S ribosomal RNA". It matches the Rfam family "Bacterial small subunit ribosomal RNA", at positions 524 to 776 of the family's 1533-position model. The record is from RNAcentral.